RNAcentral lists this long non-coding RNA (714 nucleotides) under Anser brachyrhynchus (Pink-footed goose). RNAcentral describes it as "lncRNA (ENSABRG00000017108.1)". Lineage: Eukaryota; Metazoa; Chordata; Aves; Anseriformes; Anatidae. The record is from RNAcentral.
CGGAGCCUAUUUAUAACAUCUCAGAGCAAGCCCGUUAUUUAUUGGGGUAAAAUUGGCUAUCUGGAAAGGUAUGGGUCUGCUCAGGGUCAGGAGGACUGCAAAUACCCAUUUUCUAGUCCUGGCCCUGCAAACCUCCCAGAUGAGAAGGCUGUCAGCUUCAUAAGCAGGCAUCGCUGCACGACAGGAAGACAAUUACUGAGAGGGAACAUUUCUCCUGGGCUCCACAAUUUACCAGCAGAUCAGCAAUCAAUUUACAGCGCAGCAGCUUGCGGUGCCCGCUGCCUCCCUGUCAUCCCCCUGUGCUCGGGAGAGGCCCCGCCAGGCACAGGCUGGAGGUGCAGCGUGGGUGGUGGUGGAGGUGAGGACACUCGAGGAGGAGAGGCUGAGGACGAAGGCAAGCAGCGACACAGGAGAGACAGUCCAGCAGAAAUGUGGACUCACAUCUGUGAAUCCCGUGCACAGGCAGAGGUGUGGGGCAGGGGCAGGCAGUGCAGCGUGCCAUGGCAGAAACCACCUCUGACCCGUGGCUUGACCACCACGCUGCUGCUCAUGCUUCUUGAAAAGGGCAUUGCAGAACUGCAAGGAGACCAGAGGUGUGCUGUGACGAUCACCUGGGCUUUGGAUGGCUCCUAAGCAAGGAAUGGUUCGGUAGGUUGGGACAGUGCUACAGACUGGGAAAAUAAAUGGCCCAGGGAGAGUAUUAGAGAAGUCUAC